GAUGAACGCUGGCGGCGCGCCUAACACAUGCAAGUCGAACGAUUAAAGCACCUUCGGGUGUGUAUAAAGUGGCGAACGGCUGAGUAACACGUGGGCAACCUGCCCCUUUCAUUGGGAUAGCCACGGGAAACCGUGGAUAAUACCGAAUACUUCGAGACUUCCGCAUGGAAGACUCGAGAAAGCUCCGGCGGAGAGGGAUGGGCCCGCGGCCUGUUAGCUUGUUGGUGGGGUAACGGCCUACCAAGGCAAUGAUGGGUAGCUGGGUUGAGAGACCGACCAGCCAGAUUGGGACUGAGACACGGCCCAGACUCCUACGGGAGGCAGCAGUGGGGAAUCUUGCACAAGGGGCGAAAGCCUGAUGCAGCGACGCCGCGUGCGGGAGGAAGGCCUUCGGGUUGUAAACCGCUUUCAGCAGGGACGAGGCGAAAGUGACGGUACCUGCAGAAGAAGCCCCGGCUAACUACGU
RNAcentral lists this ribosomal RNA (466 nucleotides) under uncultured bacterium. RNAcentral's name for it is "partial 16S ribosomal RNA". It matches the Rfam family "Bacterial small subunit ribosomal RNA", at positions 28 to 506 of the family's 1533-position model. The record is from RNAcentral.